This 420-nucleotide ribosomal RNA is filed under the name bacterium. RNAcentral describes it as "partial 16S ribosomal RNA". It matches the Rfam family "Bacterial small subunit ribosomal RNA", at positions 355 to 776 of the family's 1533-position model. The record is from RNAcentral.
GGGGGGAUAUUGCACAAUGGGCGAAAGCCUGAUGCAGCGACGCCGCGUGGGGGAUGAAGGCUUUCGGGUUGUAAACCUCUUUCGCUAUCGAACAAUGCCCGCUUAGGGUGGGUUGAGGGUAGGUGGAGAAGAAGCGCCGGCUAACUACGUGCCAGCAGCCGCGGUAAUACGUAGGGCGCGAGCGUUGUCCGGAAUUAUUGGGCGUAAAGGGCUUGUAGGCGGCUUGUUGCGCCUGCUGUGAAAACGCGGGGCUUAACUUCGCGCGUGGAGUGGGUACGGGCAGGCUUGAAUGUGGGAGGGGUGACUGGAGUUCCAGGUGUAGCGGUGGAAUGCGCAGAUAUCUGGAGGAACACCGAUGGCGAAGACAGGUCACUGGGCCAUUACUGACGCUGAGGAGCGAAAGCAUGGGUAGCGAAAAGG